Molecule: transfer RNA, 72 nt
Organism: Camelus ferus (Wild Bactrian camel)
Lineage: Eukaryota; Metazoa; Chordata; Mammalia; Artiodactyla; Camelidae
Rfam family: tRNA
About the family: Transfer RNA (tRNA) molecules are approximately 80 nucleotides in length. Their secondary structure includes four short double-helical elements and three loops (D, anti-codon, and T loops). Further hydrogen bonds mediate the characteristic L-shaped molecular structure. tRNAs have two regions of fundamental functional importance: the anti-codon, which is responsible for specific mRNA codon recognition, and the 3' end, to which the tRNAs corresponding amino acid is attached (by aminoacyl-tRNA synthetases). tRNAs cope with the degeneracy of the genetic code in two manners: having more than one tRNA (with a specific anti-codon) for a particular amino acid; and 'wobble' base-pairing, i.e. permitting non-standard base-pairing at the 3rd anti-codon position.
Source: Rfam
GGGGGUAGAGCUCAGUGGUAAAGCGUGUGCUUAGCAUGCACGAGGUCCUGGGUUCAAUACCCAGUAGUGCCA